AAUGAGACACGGUCCGGACUCCUGCGGGAGGCAGCAGUAGGGAAUCUUCCGCAAUGGGCGAAAGCCUGACGGAGCAACGCCGCGUGAGUGAUGAAGGUCUUCGGAUCGUAAAACUCUGUUAUUAGGGAAGAACAUAUGUGUAAGUAACUGUGCACAUCUUGACGGUACCUAAUCAGAAAGCCACGGCUAACUACGUGCCAGCAGCCGCGGUAAUACGUAGGUGGCAAGCGUUAUCCGGAAUUAUUGGGCGUAAAGCGCGCGUAGGCGGUUUUUUAAGUCUGAUGUGAAAGCCCACGGCUCAACCGUGGAGGGUCAUUGGAAACUGGAAAACUUGAGUGCAGAAGAGGAAAGUGGAAUUCCAUGUGUAGCGGUGAAAUGCGCAGAGAUAUGGAGGAACACCAGUGGCGAAGGCGACUUUCUGGUCUGUAACUGACGCUGAUGUGCGAAAGCGUGGGGAUCAAACAGG
RNAcentral lists this ribosomal RNA (466 nucleotides) under Staphylococcus aureus. Its description in RNAcentral is "bacterial SSU rRNA". It matches the Rfam family "Bacterial small subunit ribosomal RNA", at positions 318 to 776 of the family's 1533-position model. Lineage: Bacteria; Bacillati; Bacillota; Bacilli; Caryophanales; Staphylococcaceae. The record is from RNAcentral.